Long non-coding RNA from Phyllopteryx taeniolatus (common seadragon), 3169 nucleotides. RefSeq lists it as uncharacterized. NCBI's taxonomy places the organism in Eukaryota, Metazoa, Chordata, Actinopteri, Syngnathiformes, Syngnathidae. The transcript has 3 exons. The record is from RefSeq and is a predicted model, not a curated record.
UAGGUUUUCACUUAUUCUAUGAAAAUGCUUUUUCCGUAUUACGGAAGCGUAUUGUACGGAAGCGUAUUGCAUUCACUUGGAUUAAAAAAAAAAAAAUCCUGUUUUUCUGAGUCAUUUUUUGGAGGGCUUUGUUUUUCUGACUAUUUUUUUCUGUUUUUCUGACUAAUUUUUUUUCCGCCUGUUUUUCUGACAAUUAUUUUCUGUUUUUCGGACAAUUUUUUUUUCCACCUGUUUUUCUGACUAUUUUUUUUCCUGUUUUUUGGACUAUUUUUUUCCACCGUUUUUUCUGACUAUUUUUUUCUGUUUUUCGGACAAAUUUAUUUUACACCUGUUUUUCUGACUAUUUUUUUUCUGUUUUUCGGACUAAUUUUUUUGCACCUGUUUUUCUGACUAAUUUUUUUUCUGAGUUAUCGGGACACACGAACUCACGCGAGAACCUGCGAACUGGAACUGGAAGUGACUCUUUGCGGACUCACUAAUGGCGGAUUACUGCUCGCACACCUUCAACCUGCCCAUACGCGUUUACAUUACCGCUUCAAUUAAGCAUUGCAAUGGCUACAUCCUCAACCCCUGGCCUCCCACAAGAUGAUGAUGGUCUGUGGGAAUUUCUACGCAACAGAGGUGUUCAUGAGGAGAGUAUUCAGAAAAUUGAACAAGAUCAUGUAAGUCACAGGACAUUUGUUCCUGCUGAUUGACAGCUCGAUAAUUGGAGAAAUAGAUGAUGCUGCUUUGGCCUCUUACAUUCCAGCCUAUGGUGAUAGGAUUGCUACAAGGCGUUUCUCAGUGGAAAAACAGAGAAGAGGUGGAGAUGAUACAAAAAGACUUUCCUUAUUCCAAAAACUUAGUAAGAAAAUGAGCACAAUGGGUAACAAAGCCUGUGAUCAUGGUUUUGAGGGAGAGAGAGCGAGAAUACAGUGAAACCAACAAAUGUGUACCUAAAAAAUAAUAAGCGAGCCUGGAAGACAACUCGAAAAAUAGAAUUAGGGUGGAUACAUGACAACAAACAAGUCAGAAAACGCAGCGGUGGAGGAACCAGAGUUCUGGAUAUUAACAAGAAUGCCACUAAAACUGAGAUCCUGUCUCAAGCAAAACAACUGGUUUUCCCGAAUGAGAAGUCAACAAUGGGAAAGUGGGAAGAGUUCAGUCAUGACAUCGUUAACUUUCAGGAAGCACAAGUUGAUGAGGACGUAAGUGUGCGGGAGUGUUAUGACACACACAAAUUAGCUUUGUUAAGAUUUUAUUAUUAAGACCCUUGCCGGUGGAGAUGACCAAGAGGAAGGAGCUGACAUACCGACAGAUGAGCAACAUGAAAACUCAACAGAAUGUGGACAAAAGAAACAAACAAUGGAAAAGGUGGAGCAGCUGACGAGGAAAAGACAUAGCAGUGAAAUAAGUCAAAUACACACAACGGAAGAUGAUGAGCUGAGCACUGCAGCUGUUCAGAUUAUUGAUCUUACGUCUUUGUGUAAUACAUCAGAGAUCAGUUUUGGUCCUUUGACAGGGGGUCCAUUUUUAGGUGAUCUUGAUGAUACACUCUUACAUGAUCCAAACCUUGCAAUAGAAGACGAACAACUAAACAUCCCCACUUACACCUCAACUCCUAAUGAUGCUGAGACAGCUUUUGGUAGACCACCAAGUCCUUCCUUUGAACUUUUACAUGUGACUGUGAAACUUCACCGAGUAACUCUCUUAGAUGAACUUAUAACCCAAUUCAAGGAUGAAGCAGUGAUGACAAACUCUGUGAAAUACAGCUUUAUCGAUGAAAUGGGGGCAGAUGCUGAUGGUGUGUCUAGGGAUGUAUACGCUGCCUUCUGGACAGAAUUCCUAGACUGUGCAGCAGCAGGUGCAGAUGUGAGGGUGCCAUCGCUCUCCCCGAAAUGGCAAGAGGAAGAAUGCAAAUCUGUUGGCAGGAUAUUGGCCAAGGGACUGAAUGACCAUGGGUAUUUUCCAUUUCGGCUGGCACAAGCCUUUACGGCAGCCAUCAUAUUUGGUGAACACUCCGUUUCAUCUGAUUUACUGUUUGACUCCCUGAUGUUGUAUCUUAGUCAAUCUGAGCGUCAUCUUUUGUCCACUGCUUUGCAAGAAGCUGUUAUCGGCGAUGAUGAGGAAGAGUUUCUUGAUCUUAUGGAUCGCAUGGGAGUAAGAACAGUACCGACACAAGAUAACUUGAGAGCUGUGCUUAUCCAGGUUGCAGCAUCCAAAAUAUGCAUUGGAUAAUAUUGCAGAGGUUGCAGGACCAACACUCAGGAAGUUUUUCCCUAAUGUAGAGGAUAUGAAGAAGCUGUAUGAGGACAUUAAACCGACAACACGAAAGGUAAUUAAAAUGAUAACAGCUUUUCCAGCUACUUCAGCAGAGAACCAAAGUUUGCGAUUUUUACAUCAGUACAUAAGGGGAUUGGAUGAAAUAAGUCUCCGGAAGCUGAUGAGAUUUCUGACCGGGUCAGAUGUUAUCUGUGUAAAAGAAAUUCAAAUCACUUUCACCUCUUUGGAAGGGCUAGCACGGCGGCCAAUUGCCCAUACUUGUGGCCCAACAGUGGAGCUGCCAUCAACUUACAGUAGCUAUCCUGAGCUUCGAGCUGAAAUGGAGGCAAUAUUGUCCAGCAACACUCAUGCAAUGGACAUAGCAUAAGAGUAAGUGACUGAUGUUCACAUACACAUUUUUCUGUUCCCCAUUCAGCCAGCUAUGAUUGUUUAGACUGUGAAUGUGGGCUAUAGCAUAUAAGGAGAAUAUUUUGUUAGCUUAGGGUCUGUGUAAGUAAUGCAAGAAACAAUAACUCACCCAAGCACAGAUUGAUUGAAAAUGUUCUUUCUACCCUUUCAACAAUUCACUUUUGUUAUCAGUCUAGGAUGGAUGGGAAUGUUUGCACGUUAGAAACACCAUUGUAUUUUUGCUGUUAUAAUAGAAUUUGAAUCUCUACCUCAUGUCAAAUGUUAAUACGACAGUGUUUGUGAGUCUGGUACAAGGUGGUUUGGGAUUUUAUGUUUGUUUUGCAAACAGAUUAUGUGUUACCUGUUUAGUCAUGUAGUUCAAGAGUCCUGCUCUGUGAGACAUGAUAUGUUUCAACCUGCAAUCUUUAAAUUGGACAUGUUUCUUUUCCAUGCUUGCAUUGUUAAAUGUUACGGGUAUUAAAUAUGUGCAAACUCAAGUAAAGAACUUGCUAUAUUCAAA